GCCCGCGCCGCGUCGCCGCAGCUGCUCCUUGCGGCGUGGACACCCGCCCUGCGCCCUCGGGGCCCUGGCACCCGGCGGCACCCGGCGGCACCCGGCGGCACCCGGCGGCAGCCGCGGACCCGCGCUCCUGGAACACGCGCCCCCCGUGGCCGCAGGUCGCCCCGCGUCGCGCCGUCCGCGGCCGGAACGCGGCGUCCCCUCAGGCCGCCUCAGGCCGCGACGAGCCGGGGGCGUCCCCCGCGGCCUCUCCCUGCUUCCCCCGCGCGGCCAGCACCCGGCGAGUCUCGGGAGAAGGCGGGGCGGUCCGAGAAGUCGUGAUUUAGGAGGAGGCCCCUCCGAAGUCGGGGGACACCACGACGACGACGACGACGACGGUGACGACACACGCUCCACCAGGGUUCCCUUCUGGUUCCCUUCUGCUUCGUGGCACCUGUGGUCCGGGGAGCCAGAACUCCGUCCUCUGCCUCAAAGAAGCAACUUGUGAUUGAGGCAGGUGCUUCUUUAGGGCGCUCACUGUCCUUGGGUCCGUUUUCUCAUUCACGCGCCCAAACUCUGAUUUUCACCGACCCAGGCCUUCCGGGAGAAGAGCUUUCAGUACCGCCCCCCCCCCCCCUCGGGAUAAGGUGACCUUUUUCACUGUUAGCAGCCGUAUUAAGCAGAUGCUUCCUAACAAUAUUCUUUAAAUAGCAGAGGCUAGGGACGACGGUUUAGGAAAGAACCACAAUAAUCUAACAGUUUGGUUUGUGAUCACAACUGCCCCCGCAAGAUUUUCGUGGUUUAAGAAUAUUUCCGUCAUGCCCAUCUCAUGGCGCCAUCCAGCUAAUUUCCAGCUCACUGGCUAAUGCGGAGGGCUGAGAAGGGAGGACAAGUAGCAAGGUUAUCUUGUUAACAAAAACAGAAUCAAACCAAAAUCCCACCCCUGAUCCUCUUCUCAGAGUACACCAGCGACAGAAAGUCCUCUGACGAAUAGGACAUUAGCGUUUCUGCAGGGAUGAGAGGCCAGGCUUCUGGAGGCACAGAGGAUGAUGGGCAGGGCAGAGGAAGGUCACUAAAUGUUUAUAGUUCAGGAGGCUGGUUUCAACACUGGAUGCAUUUUUCUUAAACGACCUUCAGCAUAAUAAAUGCCUUUCUAACAA
Nyctereutes procyonoides (raccoon dog) is the source of this 1136-nucleotide long non-coding RNA. RefSeq lists it as uncharacterized. The transcript is spliced from 2 exons. Lineage: Eukaryota; Metazoa; Chordata; Mammalia; Carnivora; Canidae. The record is from RefSeq and is a predicted model, not a curated record.